GACGAACGCUGGCGGCGUGCCUAAUACAUGCAAGUUGAGCGCUGAAGGUUGGUACUUGUACCAACUGGAUGAGCAGCGAACGGGUGAGUAACGCGUGGGGAAUCUGCCUUUGAGCGGGGGACAACAUUUGGAAACGAAUGCUAAUACCGCAUAAAAACUUUAAACACAAGUUUUAAGUUUGAAAGAUGCAAUUGCAUCACUCAAAGAUGAUCCCGCGUUGUAUUAGCUAGUUGGUGAGGUAAAGGCUCACCAAGGCGAUGAUACAUAGCCGACCUGAGAGGGUGAACGGCCAAAUUGGGAAUGAGACACGGCCCAAACUCCUACGGGAGGCAGCAGUAGGGAAUCUUCGGCAAUGGACGAAAGUCUGACCGAGCAACGCCGCGUGAGUGAAGAAGGUUUUCGGAUCGUAAAAAUCUGUUGGUAGAGAAGAACGUUGGUGAGAGUGGAAAGCUCAUCAAGUGACGGUAACUACCCAGAAAGGGACGGCUAACUACGUG
RNAcentral lists this ribosomal RNA (497 nucleotides) under uncultured bacterium. Its description in RNAcentral is "partial 16S ribosomal RNA". It matches the Rfam family "Bacterial small subunit ribosomal RNA", at positions 28 to 507 of the family's 1533-position model. The record is from RNAcentral.